GCAUUAGAGAGGUCACGAACUGGGUGUCAUGUCGGGCCAUAAACAAGCCUGGAAGUUCAGAAAAAACUCAGAUAAAGGAGACCAGGAACAGUUUCUACCUUCAUAAGAAUGAUAGUCCGUAGUCCAGGAGCAGCUGAGUGACAGAAUGAUGUCGACGUGACGGUGUGGCCGCAGCACAGGAGGGAAGGCGGCGUUAAUGUCAAAUCCAGCAUCUACCAUGCCAAGGGUGGGGUCCGUGGGGGUCAGAUUGUUUGGAAACACAUCCGGGUGUGUCUCUGCAAACAGCACACAAUCAGAACAGAACAGAAAUUAUAAUUCUUGCUUGGCCAGAAAAAGUACAUUUGUUUGCAGCUUCAAUUGAACAUACAUAUACAGACAUAUCGUGAUGCUUUGUCAGACAAGAAAUGCUCCUUGAUUGGAAGUGAUACAUUGAAGUCGGAAGGUCGGACUGCCCAGUGUACAGACGUGGGAGGACUAAUGCUGUUCAGUCGGGAAACAUGCAAUGUUGCACAGGAAGCACAGGAAGAAGAACAGACUGGGUGAGAGAAUUGAGGUCAGUAAUACAGUCUUACCAAUGCUACACACAUCCUCCCCCAACCAUGAAGUCCAGGACGGCACCGCCCCAGUGACAUGUUUCCAGAGCUGCAUCAGGUGGAGCCAGACAAAGAGGUGAUGUAGCUGAUGGCAUCCAGCAAGCCGAGACGCUGCAGUCCUCUCAGAAAGCCUGUAUUACCUUACUCGGAUCCAGGGGAGAUUUGAGGUUGAGUAUUUUCUGCAGCGCACGAGACACCACCUCUUUCCUCUUUGCCAG
Molecule: long non-coding RNA, 811 nt
Organism: Pangasianodon hypophthalmus (striped catfish)
Lineage: Eukaryota; Metazoa; Chordata; Actinopteri; Siluriformes; Pangasiidae
Exons: 6
Source: RefSeq, a predicted model, not a curated record